GAUGAACGCUGGCGGCGUGCCUAAUACAUACAAGUCGAGCGAGCGGCGGACGGGUGAGUAACACGUGAUAACCUACCUAUAAGACUGGGAUAACUUCGGGAAACAGGUGCUAAUACCGCAUACUGAUGGAUGGACCCGCGGUGCAUUAGCUAGUUGGUGAGAUAACGGCUCACCUAGGCGACGAUCCCUAGCUGGUCUGAGAGGAUGACCAGCCACACGGGAACUGAGACACGGUCCAGACUCCUACGGGAGGCAGCAGUGGGGAAUAUUGCACAAUGGGCGAAAGCCUGAUGCAGCCAUGCCGCGUGGAUGAAGAAGGCCUUCGGGUUGUAAAGUACUUUCAGCGGGGAGGCGUUACCCGCAGAAGAAGCACCGGCUAACUCCGUGCCAGCAGCCGCGGUAAUAC
Molecule: ribosomal RNA, 406 nt
Filed under: uncultured bacterium
Lineage: Bacteria
Description: partial 16S ribosomal RNA
Rfam family: Bacterial small subunit ribosomal RNA
Source: RNAcentral